UGCCUAAUACAUGCAAGUCGAGCGAAUGGAUUAAGAGCUUGCUCUUAUGAAGUUAGCGCCGGACGGGUGAGUAACACGUGGGUAACCUGCCCAUAAGACUGGGAUAACUCCGGGAAACCGGGGCUAAUACCGGAUAACAUUUUGAACCGCAUGGUUCGAAAUUGAAAGGCGGCUUCGGCUGUCACUUAUGGAUGGACCCGCGUCGCAUUAGCUAGUUGGUGAGGUAACGGCUCACCAAGGCAACGAUGCGUAGCCGACCUGAGAGGGUGAUCGGCCACACUGGGACUGAGACACGGCCCAGACUCCUACGGGAGGCAGCAGUAGGGAAUCUUCCGCAAUGGACGAAAGUCUGACGGAGCAACGCCGCGUGAGUGAUGAAGGCUUUCGGGUCGUAAAACUCUGUUGUUAGGGAAGAACAAGUGCUAGUUGAAUAAGCUGGCACCUUGACGGUACCUAACCAGAAAGCCACGGCUAACUACGUGCCAGCAGCCGCGGUAAUACGUAGGUGGCAAGCGUUAUCCGGAAUUAUUGGGCGUAAAGCGCGCGCAGGUGGUUUCUUAAGUCUGAUGUGAAAGCCCACGGCUCAACCGUGGAGGGUCAUUGGAAACUGGGAGACUUGAGUGCAGAAGAGGAAAGUGGAAUUCCAUGUGUAGCGGUGAAAUGCGUAGAGAUAUGGAGGAACACCAGUGGCGAAGGCGAC
Molecule: ribosomal RNA, 700 nt
Filed under: uncultured Bacillus sp.
Lineage: Bacteria; Bacillati; Bacillota; Bacilli; Caryophanales; Bacillaceae
Description: bacterial SSU rRNA
Rfam family: Bacterial small subunit ribosomal RNA
Source: RNAcentral